This 272-nucleotide long non-coding RNA is filed under the name Mytilus galloprovincialis (Mediterranean mussel). Lineage: Eukaryota; Metazoa; Mollusca; Bivalvia; Mytilida; Mytilidae. The record is from RNAcentral.
GCCCGUUAUACACUAUUCUAAAUUGUUAUUUUUUUUCUUUAUUUUCCUGUAUCUAUAUCUCCUUUAUUCGGAGCAACCCACCCUAAAUAUACAUAUGAUAUACACGGUCUAUAGGUGAUCUCUUGUGCCGUGAUACACAUGUUUGCUUAACACAGGAUGUCCUUGUUUAUAUUUAUUUAUUGAAUGCUUCUCUUUGUAACUUCAUUGGGGUGUAAAAGCGUUGACCGAAGUACAUUUUGUAUGAAGCGCGGAAGCGCUUCAUUCUAAAAAAU